This 804-nucleotide ribosomal RNA is filed under the name uncultured bacterium. RNAcentral's name for it is "bacterial SSU rRNA". It matches the Rfam family "Bacterial small subunit ribosomal RNA", at positions 59 to 861 of the family's 1533-position model. The record is from RNAcentral.
CAGUCGAACGAAGCACUUUGAUCGAUUUCUUCGGAUUGAAAUUUUAGUGACUGAGUUGCGGACGGGUGAGUAACGCGUGGGUAACCUGCCUCACACAGGGGGAUAACAGUUGGAAACGGCUGCUAAUACCGCAUAAGCGCACAGUACCGCAUGGUACAGUGUGAAAAACUCCGGUGGUGUGAGAUGGACCCGCGUCUGAUUAGCUAGUUGGCAGGGUAACGGCCUACCAAGGCGACGAUCAGUAGCCGACCUGAGAGGGUGACCGGCCACAUUGGGACUGAGACACGGCCCAAACUCCUACGGGAGGCAGCAGUGGGGAAUAUUGCACAAUGGGGGAAACCCUGAUGCAGCGACGCCGCGUGAGCGAAGAAGUAUUUCGGUAUGUAAAGCUCUAUCAGCAGGGAAGAAGAAAUGACGGUACCUGACUAAGAAGCACCGGCUAAAUACGUGCCAGCAGCCGCGGUAAUACGUAUGGUGCAAGCGUUAUCCGGAUUUACUGGGUGUAAAGGGAGCGCAGGCGGAAGGCUAAGUCUGAUGUGAAAGCCCGGGGCUCAACCCCGGUACUGCAUUGGAAACUGGUCAUCUAGAGUGUCGGAGGGGUAAGUGGAAUUCCUAGUGUAGCGGUGAAAUGCGUAGAUAUUAGGAGGAACACCAGUGGCGAAGGCGGCUUACUGGACGAUAACUGACGCUGAGGCUCGAAAGCGUGGGGAGCAAACAGGAUUAGAUACCCUGGUAGUCCACGCCGUANACGAUGAAUACUAGGUGUCGGGAANCACAGCUUUUCGGUGCCGCCGCAAACGCAUU